ACUGAUAGAGCAGGUUCUACUCAGAGUAUGUAUUGCACAACUAAGUUAGCUACAGCACAUUCUGACGGUUUGGCUUGGUUUUGUUUCACAGUUUGGUUAAUGAUUCUUUAUAAGAGUUGCUGGAUUGGCCAGGUGCACUGUCAGGAGAGAUGACCAAACAGACUUAGCCUCUCAGCUUCAGAGCUUGGAGUUGUGUACUCAUGGUCCACGUCUCUUUUAGACACUUUGUUUCCCUGAAAAAGUUUCCAUCAUGAAACUUUUGCUCCAUUGUGUGAGAAUUUCAUGAUGGCCUCCAACUUUCCAGUACUCCAAUGUAGUCUUUUUUCCCCCCAACCUUUGUUUUCAAUAAUAAAUACUUUGCUAUCUGGGAUGAUCGGAGAGCCUGUGUUCGUGCUGUGGGUCAUUGUCUCCUACGGCUUUUUUUUUUUUCUUUUUAAGUUUUCUUGUGAAUCACUGGAUAUUAUAUCAUAAGUAAUUUAUUAUAGACAUUAAAUCUAACAGAAUUACAAGAAGAGUUGGGAAAGUAAGGUCCAGAAAUGGGAUUUGGAGGAUCAGAGAAAAGUCACUUAUCAGCACACAACAGGAUGCAUGGAAAGGUUGGCAUUGGCAGUGAAACUUACAAAGCCAGGCACUUCCAACUUCCCACAUGGGAGCAUGAAGUAGAAUUGGCAAAGGCUAUGAAAGGCAGUUACAUCUGUGCCUGCUGAUGGGACUGGCAUCACUGGUGUGCAUCACAUCAACAGUCAGGAAAAACCAAUGGGCAGUGUGGACAGUCUGCCACCUGAUAGCAGCUCCUAGAGCAACAAUGAGGAUGAUCUGUGUUAGCAUCUGUAUGUCACUGCGUCUAACCACCAUGACCGACUGGAUCACACACACACAAGGAUGAGCUUCUGGGAGCUUCAGCUAGCCUCACUGUCACAAUACAAGGCAUGUAAAGCCAGUUGUUUUCCUUGUUGAUAGCAUAUAGGCCUUAGUUACAGAAACCCUGUCAAGUUUACAACAGGACAGUACUCUGCUUCAGACUUGUCAGCAGCUGAAAAGCUCAGGAUGAAACAUUAGGGAACCAAAGCAAAGCCUAAAAUCUUGCCUGUUACUGCUACUUAAUUAAGCUGAUGGCAUUUCUGUUUCUACCAGCCUCUUUUUAUUUGAGGCUAUAAGUUGUUUUUUUUUUUUUGUUUUUUUUUUAACGAUUUAUUGUAUUUAUUUGAAAGGCAGAGUUACGGGUUGAGGAGGGGAGGGAGGAGGAGGAAAGAAUCUUUGAUCCACUGG
RNAcentral lists this long non-coding RNA (1269 nucleotides) under Oryctolagus cuniculus (rabbit). RNAcentral describes it as "lncRNA (ENSOCUG00000031449.1)". Lineage: Eukaryota; Metazoa; Chordata; Mammalia; Lagomorpha; Leporidae. The record is from RNAcentral.